UCUACCACUGAGCUGCAUCCCCAGUCCUUUUUUUUGAGACAGGGCCUCCCUCACCAAGUUGCUGAAGCUGGUCUCAAACUUGUGAUUCUCCUGACUCAGCCUCCCAAGUAUCUGGGAGUACAGGACGUACCACUCACUUUAAACAUUUUUUUAAAGUUACCUUAAAUUUUAAGUUAACUUAAGGCAGUGGUUAAGUGGUGCCUGGGGUUCUGUGCCUCUGGGCUCAUCUCUUUCCAAGUCCUUAAAUUAACUUAAAUUUUUUUGCAUUCCGUUUGCUAGCAGCACAACUAUUUCUCUCAGAAUUAUUUAUGAAAAAAAAAAUGCCACUAAAAGUAUUUGACUGAAUUCUAUUUUCAUAUUAUUUCUUAAUUUUAUGGUUAUCAUCAUCAGUGAUCACAAACAUAAUGCAGGGUAAAAUAUGUUUCUCAAGCUGGGAACAGUGGUGCACACCGGUAGUAAUCCCAGCAGCUCUGGAGGCUGAAGCAGGAGGAUCACAAGUUCAAAGCCAGCCUCAGCAACUGCAAGACACUAAGCAACUAAGUGAGAUCCUGCCUCUAAUAAAAUACAAAGUAGGGCUGGGGAUGUGGCUCAGUGGUUGAGUGCCCCUGAGUUCAACCCCCAGUAUCCUCCCACAAAUAUAUAUAUAUAUAUAUAUAUUUCUCAAGUUGAAGUUGCUAUAGUUAGUAGUUUUAAUUUGUAAACAUUUGGUGUAAUCUUAAUGUUUUAGGUGACUGUGCAUAGCAUUUAUGUGUAGCCUGUUGUAAUUAAUGGACCUUUAUGUAAUGAUCCUCUUUAUUAAUGCUGGUUCAGUAUAAAGUGUACUUCUGGGAUAAAAUGAGCCACAUACAUAUAUCUCUAAGGUAACUGAAGAAAUGGUCUGAUAAAUCUUAUAAGAAAAUUAAUCAAAGGGAGAUCAGUAGAGGAAAGGGACCAAGGGGUGAGGGAGGGUGAAAGUGUUGGGGAGUGAUAUUGGCCAAAUUAUGUUGCUAUAUUGUG
This 996-nucleotide long non-coding RNA is filed under the name Marmota monax (woodchuck). Lineage: Eukaryota; Metazoa; Chordata; Mammalia; Rodentia; Sciuridae. The record is from RNAcentral.